GAGGUUGUGGCUCAGCAGUAGAGCGCUUGCCUAGCAUGUGCAAGGCCCUGGGUUCGAUCCUCAGCACCACA
This 71-nucleotide transfer RNA is filed under the name Marmota monax (woodchuck). Its description in RNAcentral is "tRNA.Ala". Lineage: Eukaryota; Metazoa; Chordata; Mammalia; Rodentia; Sciuridae. The record is from RNAcentral.